GAGAUCCCUGCCUACCAGAGGCCUUCCAAAGUGCUGGGGAUGCUGCAAGGGUCCUGGGGCAGAGCCUGGUGGACACAGACCUGGGGACACAGCUACUGGUACUUGGGGGAGGUCAGAGCCCAGCCCAGCUCUUCCCGAAGCCUUGCAUGGAGUAGACAAGUCACCAUGGUAAGAGCAGAACUGGCACCAAACACCAAUAUGAAGCAUGCUGCAAAAAUCAGAGUCCCGUACGCUUCCCAGAGGCACUGAGAUGGGCUACAUCUGAUUUUUGCCUUCCCUUUGCAGCCCUCUUGCUCUCCUCUCCCUGCCUUUGAGAAACAGAUGCACCCAUUCAUAACCAUGCCGAAGCAAGUGCGCAUUUGCCUUUCUGACUGCAGUGCAGCUGGUGAGGCACAGGAGGGAAAAUGAUGCUCCGUAUGAAUACACAAAUUAUCCGCGCUGAUCUUAUUACACUCGAAUGGCAAAUGAGCAGAAAAAGAAAACAUGAAAGAGAGAGGCAUUGUUUGGGCGGCACCGAUGUAGCAUCAUUAUUGUUUAUCCCCUUGGAGCACUCCAUCAUCCUAAUCCUGCUGCCUCCUGCAGAGAUGGGUCAGUGUGGAGCAGUGCAAUGCAGUGCUGGGAGCUCCAGCAGGUCAAGGCCAAGCAUCCCAUAGCUCAAGGCAUCAUCGGUGUUAAAAAGAUCCAUAGAAAGCAGCUGUGCCCAGGAGCCACCCUUAGAGCACCACAUUGACUGCAGUGGGGUCCUGGGUGUGUUAAAAAAGCUUUGCAGCCCCUUAGGUCCUGUGUAUGCAGGUGUGCAAAGGGCUGGGGCAGCUCCUCCUGGUGCAGAGGCAUUUGAUAAGCCUGGCAGCUCAUUCCUUGCAUAGCAAGCAGCAAUUAUGGGGAGAGCAGGAAAAAAAACAGUCACAAGGUGGGAAUCCAAACAGCUCGCAAGUCAUCUGCCAUCAAAACAGGGAGAAAUUGGUGUUUCCUACUUAGCACUUACUACAUCAAGGCAGCUCGGUGAUGCUAAUUAAACAGGUAUCGUCAAGAAGAUUUACAGCCUUCAUUUGCAUUUCUCAGUCUAUUUUUCCAUCCUCUGAGGCAGUGUGAGGAUGGCCACAGUGCAGACCCAGCCCAGAGGCAGCAGCAGCUCCUGUUGAACAGCAGGAUGGGGCAGGAGUCUGUAACUGCGUGAAAGGAGAAGUGAGAACUGCCCGGAGCUGCAGCCCUUAUGGGGAGGCCCACUGGCAGUACCCUGGUGCUUCUCUCUCGCUCUCCCCCAGCCAAGUGAUGAGAGUGGGGAAGGGUGGAGGUGCUGCAUAUCUGAUGCAUACUAAUGUUAUACAAGCAGCUCCAAGUGCCAGGCAGUGACUGGGGGAAGGAAAAGAAAUGCAAUGGGGAUGCCUUCAAACUAAAGCACAGAACCUUGGUGUCACACAGCUGGGUUGGCUCUGUUGGUUCUCUGCUAUGAAGGCAGUAAGAGGAAUUAGUUUUGCAGUGUGAAGGUGCAGAGCAGGGGUUUGGGUAUGGGGCUGCCUGGGUGCUGGCAGGCAGCACACGUCCUGCUCCCACCUCCAGGCUGCUGUGGGUGUAUGCUGCAAUAGCAUCAUCUUCUGCCUCUCGAGCAUCGCAGGCAUCUCAGUGCUACCUGAACAUACUGCUAAUCAGCCUGUGGUCAGGAAUGAGAAUCAACAGCUCUAGAGAGGAGCCUCCUGUGAGAUACUCACCCAUCACCUGGCAUCUUGUGCCUCCUGGAAAGCUUGUUACUGAUUGCAGCUUCCUAACCUUCCAUCACACCAUCUGAAUGUCAUUUGGGAUUUAUGUGCCCCACUAUGCUGAACCAUGUGCAGCUCCUGGAUAGGAAGGGUUCCCUUUCCCUUCAGUCUGUAGCUGCACAAUGCAAACCUGAACUUGGCAGUUCACACCCAGUGUUUUCAGCUCUGAGAUCCCACAGCUGACUCUCUCACAUGCUGGUUGUUGUCACAGCAAGCAGAGCGUGGACAGAACGGCACAAGAGAUGGAGGGUCCUGGGAGUUCUCCAUCCUUGGACUAACAGCAGCUCCACAGCAAAACAAUCCUAACAGAAAACACUGAGGUGCUUUUAGAAUGGGAAAAGCCAAACAGAUGGAAAAGCCAUGUGAAAUCUUGAAGCUGAACGCAGGGUGGAAGGGAAGAUUGAGCAACCAGGGCUGUGCAUGCUCAGUGAGCAAUGCAGAGACACUACCCUGAGCUGACUGCCAAACCAGAGCAAGUGACAAGUGUUGGAAAGCCGAGGGACAGCACUUGACAGGAUGACAUCCAGUGCUGGUUUAUGCUCAGUGACAACAUGGCAAACCUUUUCUCUCAGAGGGGCUGAGGAGCAGACCUGUGCCAAGGCACCAAAGAGGGGCAAUACAACAGAGGACAACUUUCAGUGCAGAAUUCAAUUACACUCCUGCUGUGUGAACCACUGUUCCAUGGCUGGGCUGCUCUCUUUCCCUGCUGGAGCCAGUCAAAGGAUUUGGAGAGCAUCUGCAACCUGGGGAUGGAAAAAGUGCUUUCCUGUCUCAAAAAUGGUAAGCAGUUGUUCCAGAGCUAAAGCUUUAUUGUUUCCAGUAGUAAAACACUACAUAAAGGUUAUAAGGGAGGGAGAUGAGAACAACAAAACAAUAAAAGCAACACAAACAACUGGAGUAGACUGAGCACCAUGUGCUGAGCCCUUCUUGCCUCCCUUGAGCCAAGUGAAAAGACAUCAACUGGUGCAACUUUAGGACAAUAUUCCAACCAGAAUUACAGAAUAAUAGAGAGAGCUGCAACAAAAGGGAAGGAGAUGUUUAAAAUAGAAAUGAUAUGCACGCUGCUGAGUGUGUGCAUCAGUCCCAUUGGGAUGGGACCAGGUCAUGUUCUCCUGGGCUGGAUCCUUCCCUUAACCCACGAGGAAUCUUCCUAUAGAUGGCAGAAUGGUCUUGAUGACCAGGUUUAACAACCACAUCACUGGGAGCAUUCCUCAGUGGAGAACAAGCUCAUCCCUUGCUCUCUUCAAUACCAAAGCUGUGAAAUCCAUGUCCAGACAUUUCUCUUCCUGCAAUCUAUGUCACCCAAAGGCUUCACCUUCAUUUACCAAAGGGCAGAAGCAUCACGGAGGAAUAGUUGGAAGGUGUUUCCCAGAAGCGUUAGCUGGAAAAGCAGUAGGGGAACAGUGCUCUGCUGGACCAGGUUUGUUUAGAAAGAAAGUCAAGGAUUGAUUUCCAAUCUCCUGUUAGAGUAUUCCAGCACCCGAUCUCAUUUAUCUUCAUACUGCAGCCAUUUGUAAGAGCAUAUACUACAUGCACACGGAGAGCCCAGCAGCAAAAGAGUACUGAACAAAAGAGUAAUAACCAAGGGAACAGGCUGACAUUAACAGGCACGAAUUGCUUUUAAAUCCACGACUGAAGAGGGAACUUUUUGGAAUCCUUCAUUUCUUCAGCAAAACACAGGUCAGAUCUAAAGCAUUUCAUCAAAAUGCACAGACUCCUACUUGCUUCGAGUGAGCUUUUGUUCAAGCCUUUAAGGAUCUAAUUGCUCUGGAAAUGUCGGGUAAUUUGAUUCUUCUCAUCAGCCAGGUCUUAGAGGGGGAUUGUCCAUCCCAGGAAAGCAGCAGGACUGGGGCAGAGCUCUCAGCCUGACUCAUCUUGACACCACCACUACAGCCAGAUGCUCGAGACUUCCAGGAAAAAGGUACAACACAGGCCCCUGUUUGUGCAGGAGAUUACAAGGUGCGCACGUGGGAGGAGAAUCUGCAGAGCUUAAAGAGGUAAAGUAAUUGAAAAGCUUUUAGCUGAUUUGGGCAGCCAGCUGUGGGUGUGUGUGUGUGUGUAGGGGGGGUGUUCUCCCACCCAGAGCUGCAGCGUGUGUUCUGCUCCUGGUCCUGCUGCAUUGCCUACAGUGCAGGGUGUGAUGAAGCUGCUUCACCAUGCCAAAACAGGAGGCAGGGCAUUGGGGCAGGGAGGACAGGCAGAUGUGUGCUGUUGUGUUGCUGGUGCUUGGGCAGAGGUGGCUUCAUCACAGUCCUCAUUGGCACCGGGCAAUGUCCAUAGUGAGGCCUACAGGAGGGGGCAAGUGUUGGGUUCAGGCAGCUCAGCUCCAUCUUCACCUCCAUCAGCACCGUGUUCUGGUGUGGGUGCGCCAUUUGCCUUCAAAAUAAAGACAAGCAGAAGUUAAUGUAGAAUCAUUAAGGCUGGAAGAGACCUCUGGGAUUCCCAUGUCUGAUCCUGGUCCAUGCAGUGACCACAGUCCUUAGUGGUCACUGCAGGAUGGAGACACCCCACCUCCCUGGGCAGCUGUGCCACUGCUUUGUCACCCACUCUUAUGUUCCAGCCCCUUUGACUGCCUUGUUGCCCUUCUUUGUGUGAGAAAGAGUGGAGAGAGUUGAUAAAAGUUAUCUGAGAUUGCUUUUAGCUCCUCGGUGCCAUUUUAAGAGCUUCCUAAAAAUAAUAAUGAAGAGAAUGUCUGUGCAUCAUUACUCUGCACGCUGUCAGCAGUCAGGGCCCAUUAAACUUUAUUAAAGAAAGAAAAGACAGGCAAAUUGGGAAAGGAGGAGAAAGAAAAAGCGGUGCUGAUGGAGCUGGUGUUCUGGUACAUCACUCAGGGCAGGCAGAAAUCCAAAACUCAGCCCUUGAGGUUUCCAAACAGCACCCAGGGAGCCAACCCUGCCCCAGCUGGGCCAGCAUGUGUGUGGGAUGAUGGGCAUAGGGCAACAGGGCUCAUGAAUAACAGAAUCAUUCAGGUAGGGAAAGACCUCUCAGAUCCCUAAGUCCAACCCCACCAUGCCCACUGACCACAGCCUUCUUUGCACACCCCUAUGGUUCUUAACACCUCCAGGGAUGGGGACCUCACCAAAUCCCUGUGCAGCUGUGCCAACACGCUGUGGCUUUUCAGAGAAGUUUUUGCCAAUAUCCAAUCUGAAGCUUCCACAGUGGCUACUUGAGGCCAUUCCCUCUUCUACAUGGAGCCCAAAGGGCCCUUCUCUGAGCUGAAUGGGACAUGAAUUAGGCUGGUUCAAGGAGAGACAACUAGGCACUGCAUGGGAGAGGCACAAAAACAGGAGCUUCAUCUCCAGCUGCAGACUUCUUUCCCGAUAUAUUGUGUGAAAGAGAUGAGAGAAUGAGUCUUUGUCAUUCCUCUGUUUUCAAGGGAAAUGCCUUCAAUUUAAAACUCCAUGGAGAAUUACAGAAAUGGUGAAAGUAAUUCAUUUAUUUUUUAAGCAAAGAAAGGCUUGAGAACCUGACUUCAAGGCAAGGCUCAAAGCGCUGGAAAUGUUUUGGUUCUACCACUGGAAAAUGAAAGCAUUUUAAUUCCUUAAAGCAUGGAAGGGGGACAUUGGCUUCUUCUGAGGUUCCUAUUAAGCAGCACAUUGUACCUAAAGCACAAACCCUGAAUCACUUCCCAGCUCUGUCACUACUGGAAGACAUGUUUUAUUUAUCAAUACAGCGGGGUGGGUUGGUGCUCUGCAGCACCGAUCGGGGAAGGCAGACACAGCUCAAAGCUUCUCAGCCAUGAAGGCACAGUUCAGUCUUUUCUGCUUGCAGAAGAGGGACUGGCUCAUCCUCAGCAGCAGGAAGGCUCAACCCCAUGACAACGGGACACAAAUGGGGUGGGAGAGCAAUUAAAUGGGGAAGAGAUGGCAGCAACUUUCUUGCCAAGCACAGGAAAACAAAAGUCACCUCCCCAAAGACUGUCACCAAGAAAGUCAUUACAGAAAUUACUCUUUCAUUUAGAGCCUAACUAAUUUCAAGAUAAUUUUGUUGUUGUUUUUUUUUCCCCUGCAUGGAAUGAAUGGAAUGAAAUGUUACCUCCCCAUCAUCCCUGAGGGAGCAAACCAGGCAUCCUGAGAGACAGAAGAGAAGGCAAAGAAGACCACCUCAGUGACCCCCACUUGGGAUUCACCCACUCCUGUGCCCUGCAGUGAGGACCCACCAAAGAACUGCAGCCGAUCCCCUGUGCUCUUAAUCAGCUCCAUGCAGCAGCCAAGCCCCAACCCAAAGCUGUAAUCUCCAUUAAAAGCUCUCCGUGGGCUAAUGAAAUCCAUCAAAAUAUACGGCUGGUUUCUUUGUUUAAUGCUGUUUAAUUUUCCCUUUCGUUAAUAAAAACGUCGUAAUUAAGAACAGGGAGGUUUUUUGCUCUUCUCCCAUUAAGGGAACAACACAUCAGCUGUGCAGCCAAAGGAAAAGGAGUCUCACCCAGCCAGGCAGGGGCAAGGAAGGGGGAAAGGGAGAACAGGCAUUUCUUAUCUGCAAUUUUCCUUCU
This is a long non-coding RNA of Coturnix japonica (Japanese quail), 6246 nucleotides long. RefSeq lists it as uncharacterized. The record is from RefSeq and is a predicted model, not a curated record. Lineage: Eukaryota; Metazoa; Chordata; Aves; Galliformes; Phasianidae.